RNAcentral lists this ribosomal RNA (677 nucleotides) under Schizotrema aff. zebrinum Lumbsch 19983f. Its description in RNAcentral is "eukaryotic LSU rRNA". It matches the Rfam family "Eukaryotic large subunit ribosomal RNA", at positions 490 to 1129 of the family's 3401-position model. The record is from RNAcentral. Lineage: Eukaryota; Fungi; Ascomycota; Lecanoromycetes; Ostropales; Graphidaceae.
AUCGGGCCAGCAUCGGUUCCGGCGACCAGACAAAGGCCCCGGGAACGUAGCUCUCUUCGGGGAGUGUUAUAGCCCGGGGUGCAAUGCGGCCAGCUGGGACCGAGGACCGCGCUUCUGCUAGGAUGCUGGCGAAAUGGUUGCCAGCGACCCGUCUUGAAACACGGACCAAGGAGUCGACCAACCGUGCGAGUGUUUGGGUGUCAAGCCCAUGCGCGCAAUGAAAGUAAACGGAGGUGGGAGCCCCAGGGCGCACCAUCGACCGAUCCUGAUGUCUUCGGAUGGAUUUGAGUAUGAGCCCGGCUGGUCGGACCCGAAAGAUGGUGAUCUAUACGUGAAUAGGUAUGUUUUAACUGCGAUUUUCUCAUCUAAUAUUGUAAUGCUAACUUUUGAAUAGGGUGAAGCCAGAGGAAACUCUGGUGGAGGCUCGCAGCGGUUCUGACGUGCAAAUCGAUCGUCAAAUUUGCGUAUAGGGGCGAAAGACUAAUCGAACCGUCUGGUAGCUGGUUCCUGUCGAAGUUUCCCUCAGGAUAGCAGUAGCGAGUAAACAGUCUCAUGAGGUAGAGCGAACGAUUAGAGGCCUUGGGGUUGAAACAACCUUAACCUAUUCUCGAACUUCGAAUAUGUGAGAAGUCCUUGUUGCUUAGUUGAACGCGGACAUUGGAUGGUCGUAUUUGUCC